AUGCCAGAACGCAAGAGAGGUAUCAUUGUCAAGAUAGAAUGCCCUUUCCGGUGUAAGCUAAACACAGAUGGAGUACAAUGGGUGGUCACCGACUAUUUCGAUGAACACAACCACAAACUCCUAAAGAAGUUUGAUCUAGUAAAAUUUCUGAGCGCCUACAGAGGAUUCAACCCCCUCGAGAAGAAAUAUGUAAAGUUGCUACAUGAUUGUAACAUCGGUCCAUCAAGAAUGGUCCAAAUAUUGUCCCUGAUCCACAGCGGGAUGGUGGACAUGCCCUACAUACCAACAGACGUCACAAACCUAAAGGCAAAGUACCAUAGAGAGAGCAGGUUGGCUGACAUAGAAGACACGAUAACCUACUUUGAAGAGAAAGUAAAAGUAGAUGUUAAUUUCUUCUACAGGAUAAGAUUGGACGAUGAGGACCGUGUCAGAAACAUGUAUUGGGUGGAUGGUGCUGAAAGAAGGGCCUACAAACAUUUCCGUGAUUGCAUAUCAUUCGACACGACAUAUCUCACUAAUACGUAAAAGAUGCCCUACGCUCCAUUCAUUGGAAUAAAUAACCACAAUAUGGAUGGUUACACUUGGCUAUUCAAAACCUUCUUGAAGUGCAUGGAUGGACUUGCUCUGAUGAACAUAAUAACAGACCAGGAUUUUAGCAUGCGUGCAGGCAUAGGGGAGGUCUUUCUGUUGGCAGUGCACAGGCACUGCAGGUGGCAUAUUAUUAAAAAGGCCGAGGAGAUGCUAGGACCUUUUUUUGCUACUACGCACCACAGCGAGGUGUUCAAUGCUGUUUUAUUCGAACGCGAUGGGAUUGUGUGCUGUCACAUACUGAAAGUAAUGGACAUGCACACGGUCACACGAUUGCCCCGCCAUUUCAUAAGGCGGCGAUGGACUUGGGACACUGACGAUGCGUUGGGGACACAAACAACAAAUGCAGUUUUGGCUGUGCAUGACGAGAGACCGGAGGCAACCAUGGAAAUCGUGAGGCACAUUGUGUUAACCAAUAACUAUGCUGAACUAAUAGAUGAAGCAUGCAAGAGUGAUGAGACAGCGAGGGUGGCAUAA
This 1065-nucleotide ribosomal RNA is filed under the name Triticum aestivum (bread wheat). Its description in RNAcentral is "partial small subunit ribosomal RNA". The record is from RNAcentral. Lineage: Eukaryota; Viridiplantae; Streptophyta; Magnoliopsida; Poales; Poaceae.